AGAGUUUGAUCCUGGCUCAGGAUUAACGCUAGCGGCGUGCCUAAUACAUGCAAGCCGAACGAGGGACUUUUGUAGCAAUACGAGGGUUUCCUAGUGGCGAAUGGGUGAGUAACGCGUUGGUGACCUGCCCCGAAGUGAUGGAUAACAGUUCGAAAGGACUGCUAAUACCCCAUGUGGUCAGUGGGUUUAGAAGCUGCUGACUAAAGGAGCAAUCCGCUUUGGGAGGGACCUGCGUCCCAUCAGCUAGUUGGUAAGGUAACGGCUUACCAAGGCUACGACGGGUAGGGGGCCUGAGAGGGUGGCCCCCACAUUGGCACUGACACACGGGCCAAACACCUACGGGUGGCAGCAGUAGGGAAUAUUGCACAAUGGGCGAAAGCCUGAUGCAGCAACGCCGCGUGCGCGAUGAAGGCCUUCGGGUCGUAAAGCGCUUUUUGAGGAGAUGAGAAAGGACAGUAUCCUCAGAAUAAGGAUCGGCUAACUACGUGCCAGCAGCCGCGGUAACACGUAGGAUCCAAGCGUUAUCCGAAUUUACUGGGCGUAAAGCGCGUGCAGGCGGUUUGGUAAGUUGGAUGUGAAAGCUCCUGGCUCAACUGGGAGAGGCUGUUCAAAACUACCAGACUAGAGGGCGGUAGGGGGAGGUGGAAUUCCCGGUGUAGUGGUGAAAUGCGUAGAUAUCGGGAGGAACACCAGUGGCGAAAGCGACCUCCUGGACCGUACCUGACGCUCAGACGCGAAAGCUAGGGGAGCGAACGGGAUUAGAGACCCCGGUAGUCCUAGCUGUAAACGAUGCAGACUUGGCGUCGGUGGGGUAAAAGCCAUCGGUGCCGAAGCUAACGUGAUAAGUCUGCCGCCUGAGGACUACGGCCGCAAGGUUAAAACUCAAAGGAAUUGACGGGGCCCCGCACAAGCAGCGGAGCGUGUGGUUUAAUUCGUUGCUACGCGAAGAACCUUACCCGGGUUUGACAUAUAGGUGGUAGGGAGCAGAGAUGUGACCGACCCUUCGGGGAGCCUAUACAGGUGCUGCAUGGCUGUCGUCAGCUCGUGUCGUGAGAUGUCCGGUUAAGUCCGGUAACGAGCGCAACCCUCGCCACGUGUUACAUGUGUCACGUGGGACCGCCGGUAUAAAGCCGGAGGAAGGCGGGGAUGACGUCAAGUCAGCAUGGCCUUUAUAUCCGGGGCUACACACACGCUACAAUGGUCGGUACAAUGGGUUGCAAAGCCGCGAGGUAGAGCCAAUCCCCAAAGCCGGCCUCAGUUCAGAUUGCAGGCUGCAACUCGCCUACAUGAAGUCGGAGUUGCUAGUAACCGCGCGUCAGCAUUAGUGCGGUGAAUACGUUCCCGGGGCUUGUACACACCGCCCGUCACGUCAUGGGAGCUGGUAACACCUGAAGCCGGUGUCCUAACCCGCAAGGGAGGGAGCUGUCGAAGGUGGGACUGGUGACUGGGACGAAGUCGUAACAAGGUA
RNAcentral lists this ribosomal RNA (1468 nucleotides) under metagenome. Its description in RNAcentral is "bacterial SSU rRNA". It matches the Rfam family "Bacterial small subunit ribosomal RNA". The record is from RNAcentral.